AUGGCUCCCAACAGGGCUCCUGGACCCGAUAAUAUCCUGGCUGAAUUCUACCAGGCGUGUUGGGAGAUUGUCAAAGACGACAUCAUGGCCUUGUUUGAACAUUUCCACCAAGGGAAACUGGAUGUGCAGCGGCUUAAUUACGGGAUUAUUACCCUUCUCCGAAAAACCUCUGGGACUGAGAAAAUCCAGCAAUACAGGCCCAUAUGUUUGUUGAGAUGCCCAUAUAAACUGAUUACGAAGGUCCUCGAUCGUAGAGUGGCUAUCUACGCGGAUAAACUCAUUAGUCCUACCAGAAUGCAUUUGUUAAAGGCAGAAACAUUAUGGAUGGUGUCCUGUCUCUCCAUGAAAUUCUUAACUACACCUAUGUUAAGAAAAGAGUGGGAAUUGUCCUUAAACUGGAUUUUGAAAAAGCCUAUGACAAGGUUAAUUGGGACUUUCUCCUAG
Molecule: ribosomal RNA, 444 nt
Filed under: Triticum aestivum (bread wheat)
Lineage: Eukaryota; Viridiplantae; Streptophyta; Magnoliopsida; Poales; Poaceae
Description: partial small subunit ribosomal RNA
Source: RNAcentral